CCUACGGGGGGCAGCAGUGGGGAAUAUUGGACAAUGGGCGAAAGCCUGAUCCAGCCAUGCCGCGUGUGUGAAGAAGGCCUUCGGGUUGUAAAGCACUUUCAGUGGGGAAGAAAGCCUUGGGGCUAAUACCCUCGAGGAAGGACAUCACCAACAGAAGAAGCACCGGCUAACUCCGUGCCAGCAGCCGCGGUAAUACGGAGGGUGCGAGCGUUAAUCGGAAUUACUGGGCGUAAAGCGCGCGUAGGCGGUCUGAUAAGCCGGUUGUGAAAGCCCCGGGCUCAACCUGGGAACGGCAUCCGGAACUGGCAGGCUAGAGUGCAGGAGAGGAAGGUAGAAUUCCCGGUGUAGCGGUGAAAUGCGUAGAGAUCGGGAGGAAUACCAGUGGCGAAGGCGGCCUUCUGGACUGACACUGACGCUGAGGUGCGAAAGCGUGGGUAGCAAACAGGAUUAGAUACCCUAGUAGUC
Molecule: ribosomal RNA, 465 nt
Filed under: Vreelandella stevensii
Lineage: Bacteria; Pseudomonadati; Pseudomonadota; Gammaproteobacteria; Oceanospirillales; Halomonadaceae
Description: partial 16S ribosomal RNA
Rfam family: Bacterial small subunit ribosomal RNA
Source: RNAcentral